This 446-nucleotide ribosomal RNA is filed under the name Salmonella enterica subsp. enterica serovar Muenchen. Its description in RNAcentral is "partial 23S ribosomal RNA". It matches the Rfam family "Bacterial large subunit ribosomal RNA", at positions 1184 to 1547 of the family's 2925-position model. The record is from RNAcentral. Lineage: Bacteria; Pseudomonadati; Pseudomonadota; Gammaproteobacteria; Enterobacterales; Enterobacteriaceae.
AAACCAUGCACCGAAGCUGCGGCAGCGAACGUAUCACCCAAGACAACUUUGCGGAGUUGACGAUUGACGGAGCGAAGCGACGUCAAAGCGUUCAUUAAAGUCGAGUUGGCUUAGGGAUACGUUCGUUGGGUAGGGGAGCGUUCUGUAAGCCUGUGAAGGUGGCCUGUGAGGGUUGCUGGAGGUAUCAGAAGUGCGAAUGCUGACAUAAGUAACGAUAAAGCGGGUGAAAAGCCCGCUCGCCGGAAGACCAAGGGUUCCUGUCCAACGUUAAUCGGGGCAGGGUGAGUCGACCCCUAAGGCGAGGCCGAAAGGCGUAGUCGAUGGGAAACGGGUUAAUAUUCCCGUACUUGGUGUUACUGCGAAGGGGGGACGGAGAAGGCUAUGUUGGCCGGGCGACGGUUGUCCCGGUUUAAGCGUGUAGGUGUGUGUUCCAGGUAAAUCCGGUU